Molecule: ribosomal RNA, 497 nt
Filed under: uncultured bacterium
Lineage: Bacteria
Description: partial 16S ribosomal RNA
Rfam family: Bacterial small subunit ribosomal RNA
Source: RNAcentral
GAUGAACGCUGGCGGCGUGCCUAAUACAUGCAAGUCGAGCGAACGGACGAGAAGCUUGCUCCUCUGCUGUUAGCGGCGGACGGGUGAGUAACACGUGGAUAACCAACCUAUAAGACUGGGAUAACUUCGGGAAACCGGUGCUAAUACCGGAUAAUAUUUUGAACCGCAUGGUUCAAAAGUGAAAGACGGUUUUGCCGUCUCUUUUAGAUGGAUCCGUGCUGCAUUAGCUAGUUGGUAAGGUAACGGCUCACCAAGGCAACGAUGCUUAGCCGACCUGAGAGGGUGAUCAGCCACACUGGAACUGAGACACGGUCCAGACUCCUACGGGAGGCAGCAGUAGGGAAUCUUCCGCAAUGGGCGAAAGCCUGACGGAGCAACGCCGCGUGAGUGAUGAAGGUCUUCGGAUCGUAAAACUCUGUUAUUAGGGAAGAACAUAUGUAUAAGUAACUGUGCACAUCUUGACGGUACCUAAUCAGAAAGCCACGGCUAACUACGUG